CAAUAGUGUAUAUUAAAGUUGUUGCAGUUAAAAAGCUCGUAGUUGGAUUUCUGGUGGGAGCGAUCGGUCUGGCGCUUAGCGCGAGUACUUGCAUCGUCUCCGGCCAUCCUUGGGGAGAGUCUGUCUGGCAUUAAGUUGUCGGGCAGAGGAUCCUCAUCGUUUACUGUGAAAAAAUUAGAGUGUUCAAAGCAGGCUUAUGCCGUUGAAUAUAUUAGCAUGGAAUAAUAAGAUAGGACUUUGGUACUAUUUUGUCGGUUUGCGCACCAAAGUAAUGAUUAAUAGGGACAGUUGGGGGUAUUCGUAUUCCGUUGUCAGAGGUGAAAUUCUUGGAUUUACGGAAGACGAACUACUGCGAAAGCAUUUACCAAGGAUGUUUUCAUUAA
RNAcentral lists this ribosomal RNA (383 nucleotides) under uncultured eukaryote. RNAcentral describes it as "partial 18S ribosomal RNA". It matches the Rfam family "Eukaryotic small subunit ribosomal RNA", at positions 592 to 976 of the family's 1831-position model. The record is from RNAcentral.